UGCCCUUUAGUAGAGAAUAACUCGGGGAAACUCGAGCUAAUACUUUAAUACGCCGUUCGGGGGAAAGCUUUAUGCGCUAUUGGAUCGGGCCCGCGUUAGAUUAGUUUGUUGGUGAGGUAACGGCUCACCAAGGCGACGAUCUAUAGCUGGUCUGAGAGGAUGAUCAGCCACACGUGGGACUGAGACACGGCCCAGACUCCGUACGGGAGGCAGCAGGUGGGGAAUAGUUGGACAAGUGGGGGCAACCCUGAUCCAGCGAUGCCGCGUGAGUGAUGAAGGCCCUAGGGUUGUAAAGCUCUUUUGUCAGGGAAGAUAAUGACGGUACCUGAAGAAUAAGAUCCGGCUAACUCCGUG
Molecule: ribosomal RNA, 354 nt
Filed under: uncultured bacterium
Lineage: Bacteria
Description: bacterial SSU rRNA
Rfam family: Bacterial small subunit ribosomal RNA
Source: RNAcentral